RNAcentral lists this unclassified non-coding RNA (187 nucleotides) under uncultured Russula. RNAcentral's name for it is "sequence contains ITS1". The record is from RNAcentral. Lineage: Eukaryota; Fungi; Basidiomycota; Agaricomycetes; Russulales; Russulaceae.
UCGUACAACUGAGGUGCGAAGGCUGUCGCUGACCCUCAAGGGUUGUGCACGCCCGAGCGCUCUCACACAAUCCAUCUCACCUCUGUGCAUCACCGCGUGGGUCCCCUUUGCGGGAGGGCUCACGUUUUCACACAAACUUCGUAUGCAGUGUAGAAUGUAUUUUUGUUUUGCGAUCACGCAAUCAAUA